RNA transcript from Helianthus annuus (common sunflower), 161 nucleotides. RefSeq lists it as uncharacterized. The transcript has 3 exons. Lineage: Eukaryota; Viridiplantae; Streptophyta; Magnoliopsida; Asterales; Asteraceae. The record is from RefSeq and is a predicted model, not a curated record.
GGGUCUAUACGUAUUUCCUUGAUACACCAGAGGUUAUUUUAAGUCGUUUGAUGCAGGUUCUGUACGCAUUUUGUUGAUACACUAGAGGUUCUUAUAAGUCGUUUGAUGCAGGUUUCUGAAAAUGGACAGCAACAGAAUAUCGGGAUUGCGACCCAACGGCU